UGGUCCUGUAGUUCAGAUGGUAAAACAAAGGUCUGCAAAACCUUUUUUCGGUAGUUCAAAUCUACCUGGGACC
RNAcentral lists this transfer RNA (73 nucleotides) under Placozoa sp. H11 HM-2017. RNAcentral describes it as "tRNA-Cys". It matches the Rfam family "tRNA". Rfam says of the family: Transfer RNA (tRNA) molecules are approximately 80 nucleotides in length. The record is from RNAcentral. Lineage: Eukaryota; Metazoa; Placozoa.